Molecule: ribosomal RNA, 253 nt
Filed under: uncultured bacterium
Lineage: Bacteria
Description: partial 16S ribosomal RNA
Rfam family: Bacterial small subunit ribosomal RNA
Source: RNAcentral
GACGUAGGGCGCGAGCGUUGUCCGGAUUUAUUGGGCGUAAAGAGCUCGUAGGCGGCUUGUUGCGUCGUCCGUGAAAACCUGUGGCUCAACUGCAGGCUUGCGGUCGAUACGGGCAGGCUGGAGUUCGGUAGGGGAGACUGGAAUUCCUGGUGUAGCGGUGAAAUGCGCAGAUAUCAGGAGGAACACCGGUGGCGAAGGCGGGUCUCUGGGCCGAUACUGACGCUGAGGAGCGAAAGCGUGGGGAGCGAACAAG